UGGGGAAUUUUGGACAAUGGGCGAAAGCCUGAUCCAGCAAUGCCGCGUGUGUGAAGAAGGCCUUCGGGUUGUAAAGCACUUUUGUCCGGAAAGAAAUCCUUGGCUCUAAUACAGUCGGGGGAUGACGGUACCGGAAGAAUAAGCACCGGCUAACUACGUGCCAGCAGCCGCGGUAAUACGUAGGGUGCAAGCGUUAAUCGGAAUUACUGGGCGUAAGCGUGCGCAGGCGGUUUGCUAAGACCGAUGUGAAAUCCCCGGGCUCAACCUGGGAACUGCAUUGGUGACUGGCAGGCUAGAGUAUGGCAGAGGGGGGUAGAAUUCCACGUGUAGCAGUGAAAUGCGUAGAGAUGUGGAGGAAUACCGAUGGCGAAGGCAGCCCCCCUGGGGCCAAUACUGACGCUCAUGCACGAAAGCGUGGGGAGCAAACAGGAUUAGAUACCCUGGUAGUCCACGCCCUAAACGAUGUC
This 467-nucleotide ribosomal RNA is filed under the name uncultured bacterium. RNAcentral's name for it is "partial 16S ribosomal RNA". It matches the Rfam family "Bacterial small subunit ribosomal RNA", at positions 355 to 813 of the family's 1533-position model. The record is from RNAcentral.